GUUGGAAUAGCUCAGUUGGUUAGAGCGUGUGACUAUUAACCACAAGGUCUGAGAUUCGGCCCCUCCUUCUAGCG
RNAcentral lists this transfer RNA (74 nucleotides) under Erythranthe guttata (spotted monkey flower). Its description in RNAcentral is "Mimulus guttatus (spotted monkey flower) tRNA". It matches the Rfam family "tRNA". From Rfam's summary of the family: Transfer RNA (tRNA) molecules are approximately 80 nucleotides in length. Their secondary structure includes four short double-helical elements and three loops (D, anti-codon, and T loops). The record is from Rfam by way of RNAcentral. Lineage: Eukaryota; Viridiplantae; Streptophyta; Magnoliopsida; Lamiales; Phrymaceae.